CCUGGGAAUCUUUUUACCUAGAAAAGGUAAAAAGACAGGGAAAAAAAAAAAAGAAUGGUAUUGUGUGCACAAAAACCUGAACUCUUGAUUCAAUGAACUGGCUCUCCUGGCUGCUCUCAUUUUCUAUUUUAUUGUCCUCCCUGUGGUUGGCAGCCACUGUAACCAUGUGGUGAAGGCAAAAACUCAAAGGUCAAUUUGAUUAUAGAAUAGCAAUUAUUAUUAUAUUUUUAUAUUUCCCCUAUCAAUUUCACUGGGUGAACCUGGAGGCCAGAUGUGGCAAGCUAAUUAACAAAACCCCAAUUUCUGAACUCAGAAUUCAGACCAUGAAUCUAAAAGGAGUGAAAAGUAGACAACCGUCUUUGGAAGGGUAAUCAGCUUUGUGAUGGUUCUGUGUUUAUGGCACAAGAUCAAAGAGCUUGUCUUAAUUUUCCUGUGGCCACUCAGGAAGGAGCGUAAACCUGAGUGUUGGAGUACUGAGGAAGUUCUGCAAGAAGGGCAAGGCCAAGGAGGAGGAAGAGAGAUGGCUCCAGACUGCGAACAGAAGCCAGGGGGCUGGGCUUGGUGCUCCCACUGAAUUCUAGAUGACUCUAGGUACCUCACCUCACCCUUACCAGGCCUCAGGAGGAAAUGAAGGUGUAAUUACAGGAUCUCAACCUCUAAAAAAAUUACAAGAGGUUCAUGUGUGCCAUAUAUUAGAUUCCAGAUAUAACUGAUAUCAUAUGGUAUUUGUCUUUCUCUUUCUGACUUACUUCACUAGUAUGAGAGUCUCUAGUUGCAUCCAUGUUGCUGAAAAUGGCAUUAUUUUAUUCCUUUUUACGGUCCACAUGAACCUUUCCACAGAAAAGAAAAUCAUGGACUUGGAGAAUAAACUUGUGGUUGCCAGUGGGGAGGGGGAGAGAGUGGGAUGGAUUGGGAGCUUGGGGUUAACAGAUGCAGACUACUGCCUUUGGAAUGGAUUAGCAAUGAGAUCUUGCUGUGUAGCCCUGGGAACUAUGUCUAGUUACUUAUGAUGGAGCAUGAUAAUGUGAGAAAAAAGAAUGCAUACAUGUAUGUGUAACUGGGUCACCAUGAUGUACAGUAGGAAAAAAAAUAACGUAUUGGGGAAAUAAAAAAAAAUUACAACAUGUGUAGUCUAACUUAUAGGAAUGUCUUAAAGUCUUAAAUGACUUAAAAUGUCUUAAAGGAAUUACAUUUUCAUCAUUAGUACCAUCUAGAAAAGGUGCACAAUGAAUCCAAAUUAUAAGAAUACAGCAAGAGGACCGGAGUGGAACUAGGGACCUUUCUCAGUGAAAUUCAAUGGUCCAGAAGAUACUAAAGCAUAAAUUUACCUAGAGGGAUUCAGAAGAACUCCCUUAUUCAUGUGGAUAAGAGUAAGGCCUGUGUCUUCCUAAGGUGCCCCUGCUAAUGGGUGUGUCUGGGGAACUCUGGAAUUACAUGUGGGCCAAAAGUCAGCCUUAAGACUCUCAUCUUGAUUAAGCAUUAGAAUCCACUGGAUCCAUUUUCUGGAGCCACUUAUCUGGAGCAAGGAUCUCUCAAUUUUCAUUAUUCCUUUGCUAGUUAAAAAAUCAAGGAGGCAUGACUUUUGACAUUGUCUGUUUAUUACACACCAGGUAUGUACCACUUGUAUUAAUCCAUUAAUAAUUUCUAAAUGUGAGAUAAACUAUAUUUAAUUUUAUAAUAGUUUAUGUAUUACAGUAUUUUUUGCUUCCUAAAAGUACAUGUUUAACAGCAGUAAUGUGAUUCACUAAGCUUCUUUACUUUUUGAAAAUCUUGAGUAAAUGCUUCGUGAUAGUCAUUUUAUGUGAAUGACACUGCAGAAAAGGCUACUUCACAAAGAGAUACAGUCUGAAUGGAGGAAGGACAUCAUUGGCUGCUCUUGCUAAAAUGGUGUUUAUUUUGGAAUCCAUCAAUUAUGCUAUGGUUUUUGUUAAAAAUUUGCUCGUAAAAUUUCUGUCUUCUUAGGGAGUUCCCAUUGUGGCUCAGCAGAAACGAAUCUGACUAGGAACCAUGAGGUUGUGGGUUCCAUCCCUGGCCUCGCUCAGUGGGUUAAGGAUUGGGCAUUGCCGUGAGCUGUGGUGUAGGUCACAGACGUGGCUCAAAUCUGAGAUUUCUGUGGCCCUGGUGUAGGCCAGUGGCUAAAGCUCCAAUUAGACCCCUACCUAGCCAGGGAAUCUUCAUAUGCUGCACAUGCGGCCCUAGAAAAGACAGACAAAGAAAAGAGAAAGCAAAAAAAAUUUUUUUUCUGUCUUCUCACUGUUAACCAGCUUGUACUAUCGGGGCACUCCAGAGAAGGAAAACCAGUAGGAUGUACAUGGAUCUAUAAGAGGAGAUUUAUUACUAGCUCAUGUCAUUGUGGAGGUGACGUGCCCACACUGGGAGGGGAGGAUCUUCUUUACUUGGCCUGCUGAUUCAAGUGCUAAUAACCACUUGCAGAAAAACCCUCACAGACACACUCAGAAAUAAUGUUUUACCAGCUACCUGGGUAUCUCUUAGCCCAAUCAAGUUGACACAUAAAGUUAACUAUCAUCCAACACUUCUUAAAAAUUGAAGAUGUUAUAUUUCUACAUUUCAAAAAAUGGAUUCAAAACUGAUUUUAUCUCUUCAUUUGGAAGAUUAGUAACCAAGUUAGAAAAUUCUGUGUCCAUAAUCUUUUAGUGUACUUUGAGAGUUGUAAAGAAGUGAUACACUUAAAUCAUCUUUGGCAAGAACAUUGCAAAUCGACAAAACAUUGCCAAAUAUCCAGUUUUAAAAUGUUCUUUCCACAGCAUGAAUUCCUUUGAAAAAGCUCUUAUUUUCACUCGUUAUUAAAAUGUCACCAUUACCUUGAAGAGAGAAACUAUUUAUAUAUUCAAAAAUAUUUGCAUGGUACCUUAAUACUGAUAGCUACUUGUCAUCACAUUAGAGUAAGCAAAUCUGAAGUAUGUUUAUUUUUUUCAAAAAGAAGUUAUGUUUGGCAACUCUUUUUAGCAGAAGAUACCUUGUAAACCCACAAUAGAUGUUCCUGGCCCCGCACAUCGUUUUAAUAUUGUAUAUAUGCCAUUGUUUAAUAUAACCCAUACAGCCACUUAACUGGGCGUAUGGAAGGAACAAUAAGGCACAAGGUGGUAGAAACAAGGGAAGGGGGAGUGUCACUGUCAAUGCCUUUGUAGGGGAACGCACUCCUUAGGAGACCUUAUAGGCAAUGAGGACCGAGCGACAAAAGGGCCAAUGUUUAUCGGUACAUCAAAAGGCAAAGCUCAGUUUUUCUUUUCUGUUUUGGCAGAAAAAUGCAAGUAAACAGAAGCUUCCUUAUUUUCUUCCUGUACUCCACUGAUUAUCAUUGGGUACACACAGUUUCCCUCUGGAAACCACUGGUUUCGAGCCAGGUUUCCAUUUUCAGGUGUCUGGCUUUCAGUCUGUGUAGUAAUUUUUAUCUCAAUCUCGUAUCUAUUGCUUCUAGUGUUGUCCGUGGCCUGCCAGCUCUGCAACAGUUACAGAUACAGACUUCUGGAUCCUUCACAGAGCUUUUCAUCUUAGACUGUCUGGAGUCUGUAUAUGGAACAAGCCCCUGCGGGUGCCUCUCUGGCACACCCAUUAAGAUGCACUGUGUUAGCCUAUAAGCUCUGUGAAGAGGGACAUAUCUCUCUAAUUCACUGCAUCCCUAGUACCUGGUACAGGAGGCAAUGAACACUACAGAACUUAACUGUAACGAACAGCAUAAUUCCUCCUCAGUCACCACUUGUUCAUUCACCCAUUCGCUCAUUCGUGCAUUCAUUCAUUACUGUAGGUAUUUGGGUACUAGAAUAUGAAAGAGUCUAAAAGCUUUGCCUUCAUGAAAGUGAUACACUGUUAGAAGAAGACAGAAAAUUUUAAAAGUAAGAAAUAAGUAAGUUAUUUACUAAGACAGAAGGUGAUAAUUGCUAUGGGAUUAGGGGUGGUGGGAAGUGGGGACAGGGCCGUCUGCCAGGUGACUGAGACAGGCCUCCUGAGAGGACAUGAUAUCUGAGGAGGUGAGGGAACCAGCCCAGGGGGUAUUCCUUCCACUUGCCAUAAAUCCUGUUCACCCUUCUUUACAUGGUUCAACCAGGAGAAGAAACUAUAGGUACUACUGGUACACAGCAGGAAGCUCAGGAAAACAUGGGCUGAAUAAAUAAAAAUAGCAUUUGGAGAAAGAAUGUAGAGAAAUGAAACUAAAACUCUUCUUUAAAAUCAGGGAAAAGAACAAGGAAAUAAAGAACUAUUCCAAUUAUUAUGAAGAUACUUAGAAAAUGUCACUAAGGGCACAGGGGAACCUUAUACAGCAAAUGCUAUAGGGGGAAGCCCUCUCAGAGACACACAAGUGUCUGCCUGGGCCCUGGGAGGGAGGGUGGGGGAACUCUGAGUCAUGUGAGCAGUCCAGCCACCACCUUGUAAUAUGCAAACCCAACUCUCAUGUCCCAAUAUGGUAACCAUAAAAUUGUUUG
RNAcentral lists this long non-coding RNA (4442 nucleotides) under Sus scrofa (pig). RNAcentral's name for it is "lncRNA (ENSSSCG00015009983.1)". Lineage: Eukaryota; Metazoa; Chordata; Mammalia; Artiodactyla; Suidae. The record is from RNAcentral.